RNAcentral lists this ribosomal RNA (253 nucleotides) under uncultured bacterium. RNAcentral describes it as "partial 16S ribosomal RNA". It matches the Rfam family "Bacterial small subunit ribosomal RNA", at positions 524 to 776 of the family's 1533-position model. The record is from RNAcentral.
UACGUAGGCAGCAAGCGUUGUUCGGAAUUACUGGGCGUAAAGGGCUCGUAGGUGGCCAACUAAGUCAGACGUGAAAUCCCUCGGCUUAACCGGGGAACUGCGUCUGAUACUGGAUGGCUUGAGUAUGGGAGAGGGAUGCGGAAUUCCAGGUGUAGCGGUGAAAUGCGUAGAUAUCUGGAGGAACACCGGUGGCGAAGGCGGCAUCCUGGACCAUUACUGACGCUGAGGAGCGAAAGCCAGGGGAGCAAACGGG